RNAcentral lists this ribosomal RNA (277 nucleotides) under uncultured bacterium. Its description in RNAcentral is "partial 16S ribosomal RNA". It matches the Rfam family "Bacterial small subunit ribosomal RNA", at positions 80 to 354 of the family's 1533-position model. The record is from RNAcentral.
CUACCCGCCGGCGACCGGCGCACGGGUGAGUAACACGUAUGAAACCUGCCCGUAGCAGGGGGAUAAGCGGAAGAAAUUCCGUCUAAUACCGCGUAACAACCCGAGGAGGCAUCUCCUCGGGUUUAAAGGAAGCGAUUCCGGCUACGGAUGGUCAUGCGUCGCAUUAGCUAGUUGGCGGGGUAACGGCCCACCAAGGCGACGAUGCGUAGGGGUUCUGAGAGGAAGGUCCCCCACACUGGUACUGAGACACGGACCAGACUCCUACGGAAGGCAGCAG